This 468-nucleotide ribosomal RNA is filed under the name uncultured bacterium. Its description in RNAcentral is "partial 16S ribosomal RNA". It matches the Rfam family "Bacterial small subunit ribosomal RNA", at positions 28 to 507 of the family's 1533-position model. The record is from RNAcentral.
GACGAACGCUGGCGGCGUGCUUAACACAUGCAAGUCGAACGGAAAGGCCCUGCUUUUGUGGGGUGCUCGAGUGGCGAACGGGUGAGUAACACGUGAGUAACCUGCCCUUGACUUUGGGAUAACUGCAGGAAACUGGGGCUAAUACCGGAUAGGAGCUCCUGCUGCAUGGUGGGGGUUGGAAAGUUUCGGCGGUUGGGGAUGGACUCGCGGCUUAUCAGCUUGUUGGUGGGGUAGUGGCUUACCAAGGCUUUGACGGGUAGCCGGCCUGAGAGGGUGACCGGCCACAUUGGGACUGAGAUACGGACCAGACUCCUACGGGAGGCAGCAGUGGGGAAUAUUGCACAAUGGGCGGAAGCCUGAUGCAGCAACGCCGCGUGCGGGAUGACGGCCUUCGGGUUGUAAACCGCUUUCGCCUGUGACGAAGCGUGAGUGACGGUAAUGGGUAAAGAAGCACCGGCUAACUACGUG